Molecule: long non-coding RNA, 247 nt
Filed under: Elaeis guineensis (African oil palm)
Lineage: Eukaryota; Viridiplantae; Streptophyta; Magnoliopsida; Arecales; Arecaceae
Description: long non-coding RNA (EGUI_LNC045040)
Source: RNAcentral
UAUCCGAAUCGUGUUCAACUCAAACAGUCCUGUGACUCCUCACAAGGACUACCCUGGUCAAGGUCUUGCUAAAUUGAAACACGACUGUACACAGCUCCUAAACUAGAGUGAUCAAUCCCAUCUUGACACAUGCACCGACAAGUCAAGUACUUGACUACACCCAACAGCCUUCCAUCACUGAAUUAAAAAUCUAGGUAGUCCAGUGCCUAAGUGCAGUGAGUUGCUUGCAAGUCACCGUGGCGGUCUC